This 77-nucleotide transfer RNA is filed under the name Candidatus Kerfeldbacteria bacterium. RNAcentral describes it as "tRNA-Ile". It matches the Rfam family "tRNA". From Rfam's summary of the family: Transfer RNA (tRNA) molecules are approximately 80 nucleotides in length. Their secondary structure includes four short double-helical elements and three loops (D, anti-codon, and T loops). The record is from RNAcentral. Lineage: Bacteria; Candidatus Kerfeldiibacteriota.
CGGUCCGUAGCUCAAUUGGUUAGAGCUUCCGUCUUAUACACGGAUGGUUCCUGGUUCGAGUCCAGGCGGACCGACCA